RNAcentral lists this ribosomal RNA (332 nucleotides) under bacterium enrichment culture clone ALO1_GLFRUDD03G1K7P. RNAcentral describes it as "bacterial SSU rRNA". It matches the Rfam family "Bacterial small subunit ribosomal RNA", at positions 9 to 342 of the family's 1533-position model. The record is from RNAcentral.
GAGUUUGAUCCUGGCUCAGAUUGAACGCUGGCGGCAGGCCUAACACAUGCAAGUCGAGCGGAUGACGGGAGCUUGCUCCUUGAUUCAGCGGCGGACGGGUGAGUAAUGCCUAGGAAUCUGCCUGGUAGUGGGGGACAACGUUUCGAAAGGAACGCUAAUACCGCAUACGUCCUACGGGAGAAAGCAGGGGACCUUCGGGCCUUGCGCUAUCAGAUGAGCCUAGGUCGGAUUAGCUAGUUGGUGGGGUAAAUGGCUCACCAAGGCGACGAUCCGUAGCUGGUCUGAGAGGAUCGAUCAGUCACACUGGAACUGAGACACGGUCCAGACUCUAC